RNAcentral lists this ribosomal RNA (417 nucleotides) under Triticum aestivum (bread wheat). Its description in RNAcentral is "partial small subunit ribosomal RNA". Lineage: Eukaryota; Viridiplantae; Streptophyta; Magnoliopsida; Poales; Poaceae. The record is from RNAcentral.
AUGAAAGCUGCUAAUUGCUAUAUCAAAUUAGGUGACUACAAAAGAGCAGGUAUGGUCUAUAUGCAAAAAUGUGGUACUUCCAGUUCUGGACUUGAGGAUGCUGAUGAUUAUUUUGCUAUCGCUGAAUGCUGGUCGGAGGCAGUGGAGUGUUCUUCAAAGCUAAAUGUUACACCAAGUGUUUUCCAUGUGCUCGAAAGGAAAACAAUUAUGCAAUCUGGAGGAGGAACAUUUGCUUCAGAAUUCAAAAUCCUUGAGGUUUCUGCAAUUAGAACAAAGUAUCUGGAUAAUUGUGCUCAAGAUUAUUUUGAGCGUGUCGUCAUAAAGCAUAGGAUGGCUUUUAUUAAAGCUUUCAGCUCUAUGGAUCAUGUACGGACAUUCCUAAAUUCUACGAAUCUUGUUGAUGACUGUCGAGUUUAG